This 1372-nucleotide ribosomal RNA is filed under the name Microbacterium sp. 292MF. RNAcentral describes it as "bacterial LSU rRNA". It matches the Rfam family "Bacterial large subunit ribosomal RNA", at positions 1555 to 2925 of the family's 2925-position model. The record is from RNAcentral. Lineage: Bacteria; Bacillati; Actinomycetota; Actinomycetes; Micrococcales; Microbacteriaceae.
GCUGAGACACGAUGCGGAUGAAAAGUGGGUGAUCCUAUGCUGCCAAGAAAAGCAUCGACGCGAGGUUCUAGCCGCCCGUACCCCAAACCGACUCAGGUGGUCAGGUAGAGAAUACCGAGGAGAUCGAGAGAAUCGUGGUUAAGGAACUCGGCAAAAUGCCCCCGUAACUUCGGGAGAAGGGGGGCCAUCCACUUAUACCCACUUGCUGGGAAAAGGGUGUGGUGGCCGCAGAGACUAGUGGGUAGCGACUGUUUACUAAAAACACAGGUCCGUGCCAAGUCGCAAGACGAUGUAUACGGACUGACGCCUGCCCGGUGCUGGAAGGUUAAGAGGACGGGUUAGCCGUAAGGCGAAGCUCAGAAUUUAAGCCCCAGUAAACGGCGGUGGUAACUAUAACCAUCCUAAGGUAGCGAAAUUCCUUGUCGGGUAAGUUCCGACCUGCACGAAUGGCGUAACGACUUCCCAACUGUCUCAACCGCGAACUCGGCGAAAUUGCAUUACGAGUAAAGAUGCUCGUUACGCGCAGCAGGACGGAAAGACCCCGUGACCUUUACUACAGCUUGGUAUUGGUGUUCGGUGUGGCUUGUGUAGGAUAGGUGGGAGACUAUGAAACCAUGACGCCAGUUAUGGUGGAGUCGUUGUUGAAAUACCACUCUGGUCACUCUGGAUGUCUAACUUCGAACCGUGAUCCGGUUCAGGGACAGUGCCUGGUGGGUAGUUUAACUGGGGCGGUUGCCUCCCAAAAAGUAACGGAGGCGCCCAAAGGUUCCCUCAACCUGGUUGGCAAUCAGGUGGCGAGUGUAAGUGCACAAGGGAGCUUGACUGUGAGACUGACAGGUCGAGCAGGGACGAAAGUCGGGACUAGUGAUCCGGCAGUGGCUUGUGGAAGCGCUGUCGCUCAACGGAUAAAAGGUACCUCGGGGAUAACAGGCUGAUCUUGCCCAAGAGUCCAUAUCGACGGCAUGGUUUGGCACCUCGAUGUCGGCUCGUCGCAUCCUGGGGCUGGAGUAGGUCCCAAGGGUUGGGCUGUUCGCCCAUUAAAGCGGUACGCGAGCUGGGUUUAGAACGUCGUGAGACAGUUCGGUCCCUAUCCGCUGCGCGCGUAGGAAGUUUGAGAGGAUCUGACCCUAGUACGAGAGGACCGGGUUGGACGAACCUCUGGUGUGCCAGUUGUACUGCCAAGUGCACCGCUGGUUAGCUACGUUCGGGAUGGAUAACCGCUGAAAGCAUCUAAGCGGGAAGCCGGCCUCAAGAUGAGACUUCCAUACCUUCGGGUGAGAGGCUCCCAGCCAGACUACUGGGUUGAUAGGCCAGAUGUGGAAGCACGGCAACGUGUGCAGCUGACUGGUACUAAUAAGCCGAUGACUUGAUA